UACGGAAGGCAGCAGUGGGGAAUAUUGCACAAUGGGCGCAAGCCUGAUGCAGCCAUGCCGCGUGUAUGAAGAAGGCCUUCGGGUUGUAAAGUACUUUCAGCGGGGAGGAAGGCGAUGCGGUUAAUAACCGCGUCGAUUGACGUUACCCGCAGAAGAAGCACCGGCUAACUCCGUGCCAGCAGCCGCGGUAAUACGGAGGGUGCAAGCGUUAAUCGGAAUUACUGGGCGUAAAGCGCACGCAGGCGGUCUGUUAAGUCAGAUGUGAAAUCCCCCGGGCUUAACCUGGGAACUGCAUUUUGAAACUGGCAGGCUUGAGUCUUGUAGAGGGGGUGAAUUCCAGGUGUAGCGGUGAAAUGCGUAGAGAUCUGGAGGAAUACCGGUGGCGAAGGCGGCCCCUGGGACAAAGACUGACGCUCAGGUGCGAAAGCGUGGGGAGCGAAACAGGGAUUAGGAUACC
RNAcentral lists this ribosomal RNA (457 nucleotides) under uncultured bacterium. RNAcentral describes it as "bacterial SSU rRNA". It matches the Rfam family "Bacterial small subunit ribosomal RNA", at positions 340 to 786 of the family's 1533-position model. The record is from RNAcentral.